Molecule: microRNA precursor, 103 nt
Filed under: Marmota monax (woodchuck)
Lineage: Eukaryota; Metazoa; Chordata; Mammalia; Rodentia; Sciuridae
Source: RNAcentral
AUAUGAAUUACUUAGGGAUUUUGUUAAAAUGAGUUUUCUGAUUCAGUAGUCUGAAUAAUGCCUGAAGUUAUGAAGUUUUCACAAGCUCCUAGGUGCUGCUACU